This 885-nucleotide ribosomal RNA is filed under the name uncultured Bacteroidota bacterium. RNAcentral describes it as "bacterial SSU rRNA". It matches the Rfam family "Bacterial small subunit ribosomal RNA", at positions 18 to 895 of the family's 1533-position model. The record is from RNAcentral. Lineage: Bacteria; Pseudomonadati; Bacteroidota.
GCUGGCUCAGGAUGAACGCUAGCUACAGGCUUAACCCUUGCAAGUCGAGGGGCAGCGGGAUUGAAGCUUGCUUCAAUUGCCGGCGACCGGCGCACGGGUGAGUAACGCGUAUCCAAUCUUCCGUACACUCAGGGAUAGCCUUUCGAAAGAAAGAUUAAUACCUGAUAGUAUCUUAAGCACACAUGUAAUUAAGAUUAAAGAUUUAUCGGUGUACGAUGGGGAUGCGUUCCAUUAGGUAGUAGGCGGGGUAACGGCCCACCUAGCCAACGAUGGAUAGGGGUUCUGAGAGGAAGGUCCCCCACAUUGGAACUGAGACACGGUCCAAACUCCUACGGGAGGCAGCAGUGAGGAAUAUUGGUCAAUGGACGAGAGUCUGAACCAGCCAAGUAGCGUGAAGGAUGAAGGUCCUACGGAUUGUAAACUUCUUUUAUAAGGGAAUAAACCCUCCCACGUGUGGGAGCUCGUAUGUACCUUAUGAAUAAGCAUCGGCUAACUCCGUGCCAGCAGCCGCGGUAAUACGGAGGAUGCGAGCGUUAUCCGGAUUUAUUGGGUUUAAAGGGAGCGCAGACGGGUCGUUAAGUCAGCUGUGAAAGUUUGGGGCUCAACCUUAAGAUUGCAGUUGAUACUGGCGUCCUUGAGUGCGGUUGAGGUGUGCGGAAUUCGUGGUGUAGCGGUGAAAUGCUUAGAUAUCACGAAGAACUCCGAUUGCGAAGGCAGCACACUAAUCCGUAACUGACGUUCAUGCUCGAAAGUGUGGGUAUCAAACAGGAUUAGAUACCCUGGUAGUCCACACGGUAAACGAUGGAUACUCGCUGUUGGCGAUAUACUGUCAGCGGCUUAGCGAAAGCGUUAAGUAUCCCACCUGGGGAGUACGCCGGCAACGGU